Molecule: long non-coding RNA, 521 nt
Filed under: Dasypus novemcinctus (nine-banded armadillo)
Lineage: Eukaryota; Metazoa; Chordata; Mammalia; Cingulata; Dasypodidae
Description: lncRNA (ENSDNOG00000049971.1)
Source: RNAcentral
GCCUGUGUCUAGAGUCAGGCCAGGUCCAUACGGGCCCAAUAAUCUGCAGUGAUGUUCAUCUGCUUCAACAGUCCAAACACCCCAAGAUUAAACUGGAGUCGCCUUGAAGAGGCUCAGAGAGGGCCAAUAUUUGUCCAGGGGCCACUCAGCAAGAGAGUGGGCAGACCUCAAUUCCUGUGCUCCCUCCUGGAACCGACUCUCCCCUUCGUUAUCCAGAAGACAAGCUGGAGAGGCUUUGCUGGAAGGCUUGUUUUCAGGGCUACAGACAGGUUAACAUGGGUAAUUCAAGUCUUCACCUUCAUUGUGCUGGAUAAUAUUUGAGAUAUGUGGGGAUACUCAAAGGGGAAAAUUCUUUAUGAAAAGUUAAUAUUCAUCUAUUGUGAAAUGAUUAUUUUGAAAUAUAUGAGUUUGUUACAGAUUAAAGUAGACCACAUAAAGGAUACACUUGGCAAUGGUUUUUUUGCUUCAUUUAAAUUAGAUGUUCAAUCAUUGUUACUCAGCCCAUUUACUGGCUAUGAAUA